AACAACGAAGAGUUUGAUCCUGGCUCAGGAUGAACGCUAGCGACAGGCUUAACACAUGCAAGUCGAGGGGCAGCGGGGAGGUAGCAAUACUUCCGCCGGCGACCGGCGCACGGGUGAGUAACACGUAUGGAACCUGCCCGUAGCAGGGGGAUAAGCGGAAGAAAUUCCGUCUAAUACCGCGUAAUAACUCCGAGAGGCAUCUCAUGGAGUUUAAAGGGUAACACCGGCUACGGAUGGCCAUGCGGCGCAUUAGCUAGUUGGCGGGGUAACGGCCCACCAAGGCGACGAUGCGUAGGGGUUCUGAGAGGAAGGUCCCCCACACUGGUACUGAGACACGGACCAGACUCCUACGGGAGGCAGCAGUGAGGAAUAUUGGUCAAUGGGCGCGAGCCUGAACCAGCCAAGUCGCGUGAGGGAAGACGGUCCUAUGGAUUGUAAACCUCUUUUGUCGGGGAGCAAAAGACGCCACGCGUGGCGUUCCGAGAGUACCCGAAGAAAAAGCAUCGGCUAACUCCGUGCCAGCAGCCGCGGUAAUACGGAGGAUGCGAGCGUUAUCCGGAUUUAUUGGGUUUAAAGGGUGCGCAGGCGGAAGAUCAAGUCAGCGGUAAAAUUGAGAGGCUCAACCUCUUCGAGCCGUUGAAACUGGUUUUCUUGAGUGAGCGAGAAGUAUGCGGAAUGCGUGGUGUAGCGGUGAAAUGCAUAGAUAUCACGCAGAACUCCGAUUGCGAAGGCAGCAUACCGGCGCUCAACUGACGCUCAUGCACGAAAGUGUGGGUAUCGAACAGGAUUAGAUACCCUGGUAGUCCACACAGUAAACGAUGAAUACUAAUUGUUCGGGGAGAAUGAUCCCUGAGUGAUACAGCGAAAGCGUUAAGUAUUCCACCUGGGGAGUACGCCGGCAACGGUGAAACUCAAAGGAAUUGACGGGGGCCCGCACAAGCGGAGGAACAUGUGGUUUAAUUCGAUGAUACGCGAGGAACCUUACCCGGGCUCAAACGACACAGGAAUACUUUUGAAAGGAGGUAGCUCUACGGAGCCUGUGUCGAGGUGCUGCAUGGUUGUCGUCAGCUCGUGCCGUGAGGUGUCGGCUUAAGUGCCAUAACGAGCGCAACCCCCAUCGCCAGUUACCAGCAAGUCAAGUUGGGGACUCUGGCGAGACUGCCGGCGCAAGCUGUGAGGAAGGCGGGGAUGACGUCAAAUCAGCACGGCCCUUACGUCCGGGGCGACACACGUGUUACAAUGGCAGGUACAGAGAGAAGCAAUGCGGCGACGCAAAGCGGAACUUGAAAGCCUGUCUCAGUUCGGAUUGGAGUCUGCAACUCGACUCCAUGAAGCUGGAUUCGCUAGUAAUCGCGCAUCAGCCAUGGCGCGGUGAAUACGUUCCCGGGCCUUGUACACACCGCCCGUCAAGCCAUGGAAGCCGGGAGUGCCUGAAGUGUGCAACCGCAAGGAGCGCCCUAAGGUAAAACUGGUGACUGGGGCUAAGUCGUAACAAGGUAGCCGUACCGGAAGGUGCGGCUGGAACACCUCCUUUCU
This 1536-nucleotide ribosomal RNA is filed under the name Duncaniella sp. C9. Its description in RNAcentral is "bacterial SSU rRNA". It matches the Rfam family "Bacterial small subunit ribosomal RNA". The record is from RNAcentral. Lineage: Bacteria; Pseudomonadati; Bacteroidota; Bacteroidia; Bacteroidales; Muribaculaceae. RNAcentral also lists the same sequence under 1 other name.